This is a long non-coding RNA of Thalassophryne amazonica, 708 nucleotides long. RefSeq lists it as uncharacterized. NCBI's taxonomy places the organism in Eukaryota, Metazoa, Chordata, Actinopteri, Batrachoidiformes, Batrachoididae. The transcript has 3 exons. The record is from RefSeq and is a predicted model, not a curated record.
AAGAAGACCUGAAAGUUCAGCUACAAUUUGUCAGAGAUGCAAGCCAAGACUUGAUGUUUUGAUGAAAGAAACUCCUCCUUUAUACCACUUGAUCAUGAAGCUGUAUAACUGGGACUACAUAAUACAAAAACAUGCACGAUGUACAAUUUCUCCAAUCACAGCCACAGAAGCCUAUAAUUUCUUCUGGGUGUCUUGGUGGCUUUCUUUACUCUUCUCCUUCUUGCACAGUCACUCAGUUUUUCUAUCUAUCUACUCCACACAGAUUUACCACAGAGUGCCAUAUAUUUGUAUUUCUUCAUAAUUGAUGUAAAUAAAGCUCAAGACAUAUUCACUGACUUGGAAAUGUUCAUGUAUCCAUCCCCUGACUUGUCUGAAGAGAACUGCCAAUAAAACUGAUUGUUUACAUUACAGCAUUUCAUUAUGCAACCCAUCAUCUUGGCUUUUAUAUUUUUGAUUAAUUUAUAUCAAGUUGCAGAGAUUUACUUUGAGUUUAAGAUAAUUUUAAUUUUUUAUUUUUUUAUAUUUGAAAUGGCACAAAUUAAAACGUGUGAAAUACCAAGUGUUCCAAUAGUUUUGGAGGGCACUGUAGCUCUUUGAGAAUAUUGAGUGAAGUCAAGUAAAACCACAAUUACAACAAAUUAAAUUCACUUGAAUUUAAAUCCGCUUUAAAAAUAUGCUGCCAAAUAGUGUGGCUGGCCUUUUGGUGAA